Molecule: long non-coding RNA, 151 nt
Organism: Bufo bufo (common toad)
Lineage: Eukaryota; Metazoa; Chordata; Amphibia; Anura; Bufonidae
Exons: 3
Source: RefSeq, a predicted model, not a curated record
GCCGAGGGGGCGAGAAAACAGCGAGUUGGCCAGUAUUGAAAGUUUUGGACCGCGGACCACUGUAGCAGUUUCCAGGAUGAGAGACUCCUUUGCUGAAUAUUUCUGCUCCGAUGUAGGAAGAGUGCACUGGCAGGACCAAAUGAUUCAAAUU